GACGAACGCUGGCGGCGUGCUUAACACAUGCAAGUCGAACGGUGAAGCGCCUUCCUUUUUGGUGGGUGUGGAUGAGUGGCGAACGGGUGAGUAACACGUGAGUAACCUUCCCCCUUCUUCUGGAUAACCGCAUGAAAGUGUGGCUAAUACGGGAUAUUCUGGGUCUGUCGCAUGAUGGGUCUGGGAAAGAUAUUGUUUCGGUGGGGGAUGGGCUCGCGGCCUAUCAGCUUGUUGGUGUGGUGAUGGCCUACCAAGGCGGUGACGGGUAGCCGGCCUGAGAGGGUGGACGGUCACACGGGGACUGAGACACGGCCCAGACUACUGCGGGAGGCAGCAGGGGGGAAUAUUGCACAAUGGGCGCAAGCCUGAUGCAGCGACGCCGCGUGAGGGAUGGAGGCCUUCGGGUUGUGAACCUCUUUCGCCAGUGAAGCAGGCCUGCCUCGUUUGUGGGUGGGUUGACGGUAGCUGGAUAAGAAGCGCCGGCUAACUACGUG
Molecule: ribosomal RNA, 494 nt
Filed under: uncultured bacterium
Lineage: Bacteria
Description: partial 16S ribosomal RNA
Rfam family: Bacterial small subunit ribosomal RNA
Source: RNAcentral